Molecule: long non-coding RNA, 401 nt
Filed under: Numida meleagris (helmeted guineafowl)
Lineage: Eukaryota; Metazoa; Chordata; Aves; Galliformes; Numididae
Description: lncRNA (ENSNMEG00000000246.1)
Source: RNAcentral
AAAGUCAACGCAGCAUGGCUCUCACAGCAGUCUUCUCGUGGUAACACUUCACAACAUAGAGCAAGCCUCUCCCAGGUGAAGAACAAAAACUUGUCAUUAUAGAAGCAGAAACAAAGUAUUGUGCAUACCUUGCUGCUUCCAUUACCUCAGGAAAACUCAGCUCAGAUUCUGUCUGUGGUUUUCAGCAAGAAUACUGCUUUUCCCUUCUUCCCGCACAAUUUUCCAGCCAGAUUGACUGAACUGCAGAAAGGUCAAAUGACUUACUUGGAGGGUAAGCUAUGAGUCAGGAGCACAGCUAGCACUGAAUCAAAUCCUUUCCUGUCUUCCAAUCCAGCCACUAGACAACACACAAUUGCUUUCAUUGACCAGAGAGCUCUAAAGAAGUCAGCAUUAGCUAGCAU